Molecule: ribosomal RNA, 253 nt
Filed under: uncultured bacterium
Lineage: Bacteria
Description: partial 16S ribosomal RNA
Rfam family: Bacterial small subunit ribosomal RNA
Source: RNAcentral
UACGUAGGGGGCAAGCGUUGUCCGGAAUCAUUGGGCGUAAAGAGCGCGUAGGCGGCCCUGUAAGUCCGCUGUGAAAGUCAAGGGCUCAACCCUUGGAUGCCGGUGGAUACUGCAGGGCUAGAGUCCGGAAGAGGCGAGUGGAAUUCCUGGUGUAGCGGUGAAAUGCGCAGAUAUCAGGAGGAACACCAGUGGCGAAGGCGACUUCCUGGCCUGUUCUUGACGCUGAGGCGCGAAAGCUAGGGGAGCAAACGGG